GCGUUACAGUUGAAAUUGUUCAGUGAAUUUACAUUGUAACGUGGCGAUACAGAAUCGUUACAUGAAUUGACAGUAGAAUAUUCUGGAAUAAUUAUUCACGAUUCGCCGAUUACAAAAUACCUACGAUCUUCACUGUAAAUUGAAGUGGUGCCUAUUAGGGAAAACACAUUUCGCACGGAAGGAUGACGAUGCACAGAAUUUCCGGAACUAAUACAAAUUAUGUGUAUAAUUUUGAUUGACGGGGGCCAUUGCCGCCGACAAAUUCGGAGUACAUUACACGUGAUGCAUGAUCCUCUGCACAAAGUAGGAAACAGUUUAAGGGGAGAUCGGCAUCUCGGAAUAUUAGAAGGGUUUACACGAAUGCAGAACAUUUUUUUGAACGGAUUUCCGGCUGUGC
Molecule: long non-coding RNA, 397 nt
Organism: Nomia melanderi (Alkali bee)
Lineage: Eukaryota; Metazoa; Arthropoda; Insecta; Hymenoptera; Halictidae
Source: RefSeq, a predicted model, not a curated record